This 1372-nucleotide ribosomal RNA is filed under the name uncultured bacterium. Its description in RNAcentral is "bacterial SSU rRNA". It matches the Rfam family "Bacterial small subunit ribosomal RNA", at positions 28 to 1381 of the family's 1533-position model. The record is from RNAcentral.
GAUGAACGCUGGCGGCGUGCCUAAUACAUGCAAGUCGAGCGAACGGACGAGAAGCUUGCUUCUCUGAUGUUAGCGGCGGACGGGUGAGUAACACGUGGAUAACCUACCUAUAAGACUGGGAUAACUUCGGGAAACCGGAGCUAAUACCGGAUGAUAUUUUGAACCGCAUGGUUCAAAAGUGAAAGACGGUCUUGCUGUCACUUAUAGAUGGAUCCGCGCUGCAUUAGCUAGUUGGUAAGGUAACGGCUUACCAAGGCAACGAUGCAUAGCCGACCUGAGAGGGUGAUCGGCCACACUGGAACUGAGACACGGUCCAGACUCCUACGGGAGGCAGCAGUAGGGAAUCUUCCGCAAUGGGCGAAAGCCUGACGGAGCAACGCCGCGUGAGUGAUGAAGGUCUUCGGAUCGUAAAACUCUGUUAUUAGGGAAGAACAUAUGUGUAAGUAACUGUGCACAUCUUGACGGUACCUAAUCAGAAAGCCACGGCUAACUACGUGCCAGCAGCCGCGGUAAUACGUAGGUGGCAAGCGUUAUCCGGAAUUAUUGGGCGUAAAGCGCGCGUAGGCGGUUUUUUAAGUCUGAUGUGAAAGCCCACGGCUCAACCGUGGAGGGUCAUUGGAAACUGGAAAACUUGAGUGCAGAAGAGGAAAGUGGAAUUCCAUGUGUAGCGGUGAAAUGCGCAGAGAUAUGGAGGAACACCAGUGGCGAAGGCGACUUUCUGGUCUGUAACUGACGCUGAUGUGCGAAAGCGUGGGGAUCAAACAGGAUUAGAUACCCUGGUAGUCCACGCCGUAAACGAUGAGUGCUAAGUGUUAGGGGGUUUCCGCCCCUUAGUGCUGCAGCUAACGCAUUAAGCACUCCGCCUGGGGAGUACGACCGCAAGGUUGAAACUCAAAGGAAUUGACGGGGACCCGCACAAGCGGUGGAGCAUGUGGUUUAAUUCGAAGCAACGCGAAGAACCUUACCAAAUCUUGACAUCCUUUGACAACUCUAGAGAUAGAGCCUUCCCCUUCGGGGGACAAAGUGACAGGUGGUGCAUGGUUGUCGUCAGCUCGUGUCGUGAGAUGUUGGGCUAAGUCCCGCAACGAGCGCAACCCUUAAGCUUAGUUGCCAUCAUUAAGUUGGGCACUCUAAGUUGACUGCCGGUGACAAACCGGAGGAAGGUGGGGAUGACGUCAAAUCAUCAUGCCCCUUAUGAUUUGGGCUACACACGUGCUACAAUGGACAAUACAAAGGGCAGCGAAACUGCGAGGUCAAGCAAAUCCCAUAAAGUUGUUCUCAGUUCGGAUUGUAGUCUGCAACUCGACUACAUGAAGCUGGAAUCGCUAGUAAUCGUAGAUCAGCAUGCUACGGUGAAUACGUUCCCGGGUCU